Non-coding RNA from Equus caballus (horse), 3229 nucleotides. Lineage: Eukaryota; Metazoa; Chordata; Mammalia; Perissodactyla; Equidae. The record is from RefSeq and is a predicted model, not a curated record.
GCGGCGCGGCGGCGGACGCUGGGGCGCAGUAGCGGGUAGUGCGGGCGUGCGGCCAGGCGCCUCCCGGGCCCCCGCCCUCGAGAUCCAACUCUAGCCGGGGCCAGAACAAGUUGCGCCGGCGGCGGAGAGCCAGGCUGCAGGACCACCGGCCCGCCAUGCCGGCGGUCAAGAAGGAGCUCCCAGGUCGUGAAGACCUGGCCCUGGCUCUAGCCACCUUCCACCCGACCCUGGCCGCGCUGCCACUGCCGCCGCUGCCCGGCUACCUGACGCCACUGCCCGCCGCGGCCGCUCUGCCCCCGGCCGCUUCGCUACCCGCCGCGACCGCCGGCUACGAGGCGCUGUUGGCUCCGCCGCUCCGCGCCCCACGCGCCUACCUGAGCCUGCACGAGGCCGCCCCGCACCUCCACCUGCCCCGGGACCCUCUGGCCCUCGAGCGCUUCUCAGCCACUGCGGCCGCAGCACCGGAUUUCCAGCCGCUGCUGGACAACGGGGAGCCGUGUAUCGAGGUGGAGUGCGGCGCCAACCGCGCGCUGCUCUACGUGCGCAAACUCUGCCAGGGCAGCAAGGGUCCGUCCAUCCGCCACCGCGGCGAGUGGCUCACACCCAACGAGUUCCAGUUCGUCAGCGGCCGCGAGACGGCCAAGGACUGGAAGCGCAGCAUCCGCCACAAAGGGAAAAGUCUGAAGACGCUUAUGUCCAAGGGGAUUCUGCAAGUGCACCCUCCGAUCUGCGACUGUCCGGGCUGUCGGAUAUCCUCCCCUGUGAACCGGGGGCGGCUGGCAGACAAGAGGACAGUUGCUCCAUCCCCUGUGCGGAUCCUAAAGAAGGAGCUGACCCCCAGCUUCUCGGUCAGUGAUGGUGACAGUGACGGGAGUGGCCCGGCCUGUGGGCGGCGGCCGGGCCUGAAGCAGGAGGACGACCCGCAUGUCCGUAUCAUGAAGAGAAGAGUCCACACCCACUGGGACGUGAACAUCUCCUUCAGGGAGACGUCCUGCAGCCAGGACAGCGACCUUUCCACCCUCAUAUCCAGUGUGCACCGAAGCCGCCAGCUCGUUAUGCCCGAGCAUCAGAGCCGCUGUGAGUUCCAGAGAGGUGGCGUGGAGGUCGGCCUGGGAGCCACAGGCGACUUGUUGGGCAAGAGGCUGGGCCGCUCCCCCCACAUCAGCAGUGACUGUCCUUUGGAGAAGAAGGCCCGAAGCAAGUCCCCCCAAGAGACUCUGCUGCUGCCAGAACUAGGGCCCAGCAUGGCCCCCGAGGACCACUACCGCCGGCUCGUGUCCACCCUGAGUGAGGCCAGCACCUUUGAGGACCCCCAGCGUCUCUACCACCUGGGCCUGCCCAGCCACGAUCUUCUGAGGGUCCGGCAGGAGGUGGCAGCAGCCGCUGUGAGGAGCCCUAGUGGCCUGGAAGUCCACCUGCCCUCAUCCACAGCAGGUCAGCGUCGGAAGCAGGGCCUGGCUCAGCACCGAGAGGGCACCACCCCAGCUGGCGCCCCGUCCUUCUCAGAGAGGGAGCUGUCGCAACCGCCCCCCUUGCUGUCGCCCCAGAAUGCUCCGCACAUCGCCCUGGGCCCCCACCUCAGGCCCCCCUUUUUGGGGGUGCCCUCGGCUCUGUGCCAGACCCCAGGUUACGGCUUCCUGCCCCCUGCCCAGGCGGAGAUGCUCGCCCGGCAGCAGGAGCUCCUGCGCAAGCAGAACCUGGCGCGGCUGGAGAUGUCGGCGGAGCUGCUGCGUCAGAAGGAGCUGGAGAGCGCGCACCGGCCGCAGCUGCUGGCGCCCGAGGCCUCGCUGCGCCCGCCCGAGGGCACCGAGGAGCUGCAGCGACGCGGCGCCAUGCUGGUGCUGAGACACAGCUCCGCGCCGCUGCUGGCCCUGCCCCCCCAGGGCCCCCCAGGCCCCGGGCCCCCCACCCCGCCCCGGGAGCCUGCCCGCCGGGCCCCUGGGAAGGGGGGCCCCAGCCUUGCCUCAGCCAGGCCCAGUGAGUCCAAGGAGACCACCGGGACUGGGCUCUGGGCACCAGAUGGUUCUGAAGAUGAGCCCCCCAAGGACUCAGACGGAGAAGAUCCUGAGAUGGUGGCUGCUGGGGGCCGGGGCCCCACCCCAGGCCAAGCCCCAGCUGGAGGGGCCAGCUCUGAGGGGAAGGGGCUUCUCUCAGGGUCCAUGCUGCCCCCUCCACUGCCCCUGGGCUUACCCUACGCCGUCAGCCCCUACUUCCACACAGGCACCAUGGGGGGACUCUUCACGGAUGGGGAGGCGACAGCCCCGGAGGAUGUCAGCAAGUGGACAGUGGAGGAUGUCUGCAGCUUUGUGGGGGGCCUGUCUGGCUGUGGAGAAUACGCACCGGUCUUCAGAGAACAGGGCAUUGAUGGAGAGACCCUGCCCCUGCUGACUGAGGAGCAUCUCCUGACAACCAUGGGGCUGAAGCUGGGGCCUGCUCUCAAGAUCCGGGCCCAGGUGGCCAGGCGCCUGGGCCGCGUUUUCUACAUGGCCAGCUGCCCAGUGGCUUUGCCGCUACAGCCGCCCCCAUUGCGGGCCCCAGAGCAGGAACUGAUGCCUGGGGAACAGCCCCUGUCCCCAGCAACAGCCCCCUCCCCCUGUGGGGGCGAGCACUCCCCUGCGGGAGCCUCCCCCAAACAAGAAAAUGGAACCCUGGCUCUGCUCCCAGGGCCUGUAGACCCCUCCCAGCCCCUGUGCUGAGCCGGGUGGACACUCAGAUCCCCGCCCUCAGUGCCAGCCACACCAGCGGCAACCUCCUCCUUCCACAACUUGUUUUCCUUUUGAUUUUGGAUGCAAAACCACGAAUUUUUACAGUGAAAACUUGCAACUUGAAAGAAAUGACUUUCCAAAGGCUUUCUGGGGGUGACUGUAGAGCCCAGUACCGACUGCCUAGGCACCCGAGCCUGGGCACAGGAGCUCUGCAUCCUGGGCAGCUGCAGACAAACCAAAGACAAAGGAGGCAGAGGCAGCACGUCAUGCCCUGGCCAGGCCUGCUGGCUCCCUCUGGCAUUGGGACUGCUCUGUGAGGUUUUCCGUGACCUGACUUCAGGCAAGGGGUCACCAGGUCCCCCACAGGGUUGGCAACAGUACCCCACCAGCAGCUCUGGGGUACAGUGGAAGGCAAGCUCUACAGUACAGGUUUCCAACCCUACGGCGGCCACUCCAGAGAUCCACACAGGGCUCGGUAUGUUAUGGUCUUUCAUGUUGUAAGAAUAAAGCCCCGUCCACCAACA